GAUGAAGAACGUAGCGAAAUGCGAUAAGUAGUGUGAAUUGCAGAAUUCAGUGAAUCAUCGAAUCUUUGAACGCACAUUGCGCCCCUUGGUAUUCCAUGGGGCAUGCCUGUUCGAGCGUCAUUUGUACCUUCAAGCUUUGCUUGGUGUUGGGUGUUUGUCUCGCCUCCGCGUGUAGACUCGCCUCAAAACAAUUGGCAGCCGGCGUAUUGAUUUCGGAGCGCAGUACAUCUCGCGCUUUGCACUCACAACGACGACGUCCAAAAGUACAUUUUUACACUCUUGACCUCGGAUCAGGUAGGGAUACCCGCUGAACUUAAGCAUAUCAAAAGCGGAGGA
This 336-nucleotide unclassified non-coding RNA is filed under the name soil metagenome. Its description in RNAcentral is "partial contains 5.8S ribosomal RNA, internal transcribed spacer 2, and large subunit ribosomal RNA". The stretch from base 1 to 120 matches the Rfam family "5.8S ribosomal RNA", at positions 35 to 154 of the family's 154-position model. The record is from RNAcentral.